CUCCAACUGCUCAUCGGAGCAAGCUGCAGCCUGGACACAAGCUAGAGAUUAAUCAGUCAGGAAUGAUCCUGCGUCCAGUGCCAGCAUGAUGGAAGAGACAGAGAAACAGAAGACAUCAGGGCUCCAGAGUCAAGGAGCCUGCAGCCCUAGAACCAGCUUCUUCGUGGACAAGCUCUGACUCCUUUGGGUGGAGAAUGGUAUUCAGAAACCCAGACCUGGGCUCUGGUGUGCUCACUGCUACUUGGGGUCAUUGCUUCUAGGCCUCUCUGCUGAUGGAGCACUUCUGCAAUCACUCACUGACUUGCAGAGUGUGAAAAAACUGAGUCACCAUCACACGUUCCAAACUGAGGUCAACUGAGGCCACAACGCCCCAUCUUCUUGCUCCGGCUGUCGAGAUAGAAAGCUCUGCAAACUCAAGCUGGAGUGGGAUACUUGCUGACAUCUUCAAGCACCCCAGGAAUAGCUCUACUCCCCCAUUUCCACCUUGGCUGAACCAUCUAUAUCCCACCAAUUCCCCCAACAUCCCUCCAUCCGUCCAUCCAUCCACCCAAGGACCUGCUAAGCCAGGAGGUCUCUCCCAUCUACCCCACAGCCUGGCCUCAGCCCACAAGGGCUCUCUCUACAUGAA
Molecule: long non-coding RNA, 628 nt
Organism: Homo sapiens (human)
Lineage: Eukaryota; Metazoa; Chordata; Mammalia; Primates; Hominidae
Exons: 4
Source: RefSeq, a predicted model, not a curated record